Molecule: ribosomal RNA, 442 nt
Filed under: uncultured bacterium
Lineage: Bacteria
Description: partial 16S ribosomal RNA
Rfam family: Bacterial small subunit ribosomal RNA
Source: RNAcentral
CCUACGGGAGGCAGCAGUGGGGGAUAUUGCACAAUGGGGGAAACCCUGAUGCAGCGACGCCGCGUGGGCGAAGAAGUAUUUCGGUAUGUAAAGCCCUAUCAGCAGGGAAGAAGAAAUGACGGUACCUGAGUAAGAAGCACCGGCUAAAUACGUGCCAGCAGCCGCGGUAAUACGUAUGGUGCAAGCGUUAUCCGGAUUUACUGGGUGUAAAGGGAGCGAAGGGGGCACGGCAAGCCUGAUGUGAAAGCCCGGGGCCCAACCGCGGGACUGCAUUGGGAACUACCGGGCUGGAGUGCCGGAGAGGUAGGCGGAAUUCCUAGGGUAGCGGUGAAAUGCGUAGAUAUUAGGAGGAACACCAGUGGCGAAGGCGGCCUACUGGACGGUGACUGACGCUGAGGCUCGAAAGCGUGGGGAGCAAACAGGAUUAGAUACCCUGGUAGUC